CCUACGGGUGGCAGCAGUGGGGGAUAUUGGACAAUGGGGGAAACCCUGAUCCAGCGACGCCGCGUGAGUGAAGAAGUAUUUCGGAAUGUAAAGCUCUAUCAGAAGGGAAGAAAGAAAUGACGGUACCGUAGAAGGAAGCCCGGCCUAACUACGUCCCAGCAGCCGCGUUAAUACGUAGGGGGCAAGCGUUAGCCGGAUUUAUUGGGUGGAAAGGGAGCGAAGAGGGUAAGGCAAGUCUGGAGUGAAAGGCGGGGGCCCAACCCCCGGACUGCUCUGGAAACUGUGUAACUGGAGUGCAGGAGAGGCAGGCGGAAUUCCUAGGGUAGCGGUGAAAUGCGUAGAUAUUAGGAGGAACACCAGUGGCGAAGGCGGCCUGCUGGACUGUAACUGACGUUGAGGCUCGAAAGCGUGGGGAGCAAACAGGAUUAGAUACCCUUGUAGUC
This 443-nucleotide ribosomal RNA is filed under the name uncultured bacterium. Its description in RNAcentral is "partial 16S ribosomal RNA". It matches the Rfam family "Bacterial small subunit ribosomal RNA", at positions 338 to 795 of the family's 1533-position model. The record is from RNAcentral.